This is a long non-coding RNA of Spinacia oleracea (spinach), 266 nucleotides long. RefSeq lists it as uncharacterized. The record is from RefSeq and is a predicted model, not a curated record. The transcript is spliced from 3 exons. NCBI's taxonomy places the organism in Eukaryota, Viridiplantae, Streptophyta, Magnoliopsida, Caryophyllales, Amaranthaceae.
UUUUGAGCUACAGUGCUUAAUGCACAAAUUAGGAGUCUACAAGACCGACUGAACAGAAUCGAUAAAUCAUUGAGAAGUAGCUCAACAUCUGAAACUCUUUUCAACUCCAGUGUGGUCUUCCUUCUCUGAUUGCAGUUCCUCAAGGGUGUAAAACAUCCAACUGUCUUGUUAGGUAUGAAGGAGAUCUCUCGGUUGAUGCAGUAACAGAUUGGUUUGCAAUAACGAUACUGAGGUUACCUCGCAUUCCUUAUUACACAAAGGACACA